Non-coding RNA from Dermatophagoides farinae (American house dust mite), 1598 nucleotides. The record is from RefSeq and is a predicted model, not a curated record. Lineage: Eukaryota; Metazoa; Arthropoda; Arachnida; Sarcoptiformes; Pyroglyphidae.
UGAAAAAUUUCAAAUUUGAAAAUUGUGUCCAUUGUUGUGUGUGUGUUGUAGGAUUAUGUGUUUGUGUAGAAAUGGUACGAUAAUAACAAUGCUGAUGGCGUAACAUGCUGCAGUAAAGACUGUGCGAAAAGAAAGUUAAAUAAUAAACCGCCAAUCGAGAAGAAGCCACAGGUGAUAUACGACCAACGGUCAAGUAUGGCCGGGAAGAAGAUAUGCCGAAGAUUGGCGAAAUCACAGCCGAUAAAUGAAGCAAGUUGAACGAGGCUGGUGUUGAUCCAGGCCGGUGGUAAAUGUGUCGAUGUUUGAUGGUGAUGGCCAGGAUUCGUUCAAUGAUUGUUGUGAAGAAAGGCCAGUGUGUAUUGUGUAUGUGUGAGUGUGGUAUAUUUGUGUAUGCUGGUGUUUGAAGACUAUUAUCAUGAAAAACAAAAGACAAUGAUCAUGGAUUGACACAAUUGAAUGUUGACAAAAUUUAAGAAAAUUGUGCAGCAUAACCAAUAGGUCGGUCGAUCGCAACCAAAUGUGGCAAUUUCAAGUGUUUAAAUACCGAAACAAUGAUUGGAAAAAAAAAAAAAAAAAUUGACUCGUCUUUGGGGGUGGCAUGUGUGGAUGAGAUGGGAGUGAUACUCAAGUGUUAUUUUUGACGCUAAAAAAAAAAGAAAAAGUUUUUGAUUUUUCGGUAAAGUCGCCAACGCCUAGAUUUUUAAUUUUGGCGCCAUGAUUUCAUGUUUUGCCGAUAGGUGGUGAAGAUGCUUGUUUUUGUUUGUUCAAUUGCUGCUGUUGUCGAAAUGGCCAUCCAACUUGCUCAUGUUAUUGUUUACAUUCGAUUUGUGUAGUGAAUUUGAAUUGUUUUCCAAUGUUGAUUGCUAUACUUUAAUUCGGGUAAGUUGUUCUAUUUAAUUGAAUUCAAUUUAUUUGCGAUCAUCGAUUCUGGACCCAACGUGUGCUGAUUGAAAGAGGAUUAUUAUUUGAAUUGACAUCUAUAUUGAUUACUGGUGCUGGGCCAAGAAGAAUCACCUGUGAUAUUUCAAUUUUCAAUCGAUUUUAAUAUACGAUUUUAGCUUGCCGAUUUUAUCAAUUUUCAUCAAUAGGAUUUUCAAAUUGUAGAUUUAACCAAUUGUAGAAGUAUCAAAUUUUUAGGAUUUUCCAAUUUAGUUUUAACCAAUAAUCGACUUAUCAUAUGUUAUCGACGAAGAUUUUGAGCCCCAAUCUGGCUAGUUGUUAUUAUCAUCAGUUGUGCAGAUCAAUUUGACGUAAAUCGUUUGUAAUUUCUGAUUCAAUAAUCAUUAAGAUUUGGCCAAUUGUAAGAUGAAGAAUUAUGGAUUGAUGGUUACGAUAAUAUGAUUUCCAGAUUGUGGAUUGGACCAAUUGUGAAGCUAUCGAUUUUUAGGAUUUUCUAUUUUUAGUAUUAAUCAAUAAUCGACUUAUCAUAUGUCUAAUAUCGACUUAUCAUUUUUGGAGUGAUUUAAUCAAUUCUGGUUGUUGGUCUGUUACUAUUGAAUGAUUAUGGCACAUCUGUUGACCUGCCGUUAUGUGAUGAUUUGCCUUAGUGAAUUAUGUCUUGAUUCGAUGCCAAAAAGUAAAUAACGCCAAAAUUGUAA